Non-coding RNA from Durio zibethinus, 2964 nucleotides. The record is from RefSeq and is a predicted model, not a curated record. Lineage: Eukaryota; Viridiplantae; Streptophyta; Magnoliopsida; Malvales; Malvaceae.
UAUUAGGUUUGACCGCUAAAAGGAAUGUUGGUCACUCCAUUUUGAACCAAGUCUUCAGCCUUCACUCUUCACAAAAGCCAUUUCCCUGUCCCUCCGCUUCCGGCGAAAAGUCAUGGAAAUUGACCCAAAAAAAAAAUCAAAAACAAAUUCCAUAUAUUCUCUUUCCUUUUCUUUUCCCCUAUUUUCUGUCAUCCAUCGGACCGCCAACUCCUCAGAAACUAACCACUAAUCGCAUAUAAGUAGCUGCUAUGGAGCUUGACGAGUUCUCGAGUUAAGCUGUUUACAGUUAAUUAAUUCGUGGUGAUUUUUGCUCAACAGGUUAGAGCAGAUUUCUUUUAUCUUAAGACUUUGAGAUCACAAGAACGAGAAAUAGCUUUCCCACAUUUAAAAAUUUUGCAUAUGGAUUAGUUGCUUAUUUAAUUUAGAUUGAAAAAAAGGAGCUGGGGCAUUCCGAGAAUCGAACUCGGGACCUCUCGCACCCAAAGCGAGAAUCAUACCACUAGACCAAAUGCCCGAUUUUGUUGUCUAUAAUGUUUUCUUAGUAUUAUAACAUCUAUAGGUGGCAAAUUUUCAAAAAAUACUGCGUACUUUUUUUUUUUUGAUGAAGUCUCUGAUCAACUAGAUUGUUUGUGAGUUUUUUGUUAUUGGAAUACAUAGUAAGGUGCUUCAGAAUUGUUCAUAAAUGAGCGUACAGGACAAUUAGCAGUUAUGCAGGAAAUGUUCACAAAUUGAAUUGUCCUAGUAACCUUUUAUCUGCAAGGCUCUGAAGGAUGAAUACUAAAGUGUUCUACUCGCAUAGGAUUAAGGCAGAUUUCCAUUUUCUGAUGACUGUGAUUCCAGGUAUGAGUUUAGCUUGCGCACAUGCAAAGAUAGUACAGACAGCCUAAAUUCUUUAUUUAUUUUGCCACAUGUUUCUGGGGAAUUUUUUUUGAAAACAGAUCAAUCAGAGUCCAUAAAGUUCUGUAUGAUGCUCUUAAAGUUGACUUCAGAAUAGAUUCAUCUAUUCAAAUAUUUUACAAUAUAGGGAACCAAAAUGAAAAAAGCAAGGCAUUGGGGCAUUCCGAGAAUCGAACUCGAGACCUCUCACACCCAAAGCAAGAAUCAUACAACUAGACCAAAUGCCCUAUUUUUUAUGUGUAGAAUGUCUGGUUUAUUAUUAUCAGAUAUUUUUCUCCAAGAACUUCUGUUAAUUUUCAAUGGGCUCAUAUUGGAUCAAGAAAAAGAAAUAAUACAUAGAUAGAGAAGAUGGAAGCACACUCAGGGAGGAGGGAAAUGCUUGGCCUUUUUUGUUCUCCUAUUUUUGGUUCACUAUAGCUAUUUGAAGUAAGGCAUAUAUAUAUUCUGUUUAUUUGGCGCCCUUUGUUAUGCAGGUUUAAAGCGGAUUUCCAAUUUUUGGAUGAGUAUAAGAUUAAAAGUACAAGAAUGAACUUUUGAAAACAGCACAAUUUAUUAAUUUUUUUACUCACUGCAAAGCAAUUUUGUCAGAAAACACAUGGAUCUGAAGUUACUAUUUUACUUUAAAGUUGACUUAACAGCAGAUUCUCUGAUCAUAUAUUUAAAUUUAAGGGAACCAAAAAAAGAAACAGGGUUUGGGGGCAUUCCGAGAAUUGAACUCGGGACCUCUCGCACCCUAAGCGAGAAUCAUACCACUAGACCAUAUGUCCAAUUUUGAUUUCAUGUUUAUUUACUAACAGUUUUCUAAGGGUUCCUAUUAACUUUCAAUGGCUAAUACCAAGUGAGCUGCACAUAAUUUCUUCUGUCCUGCUUUUGAUUCUCUUCUGGUAUCAUUUCCUUGCUAGAGUGAUUGUAGUCCCUUGCUUUUGAUUUAAUUCUGUUAUAAUUUUCGUUUUAGGGUCUGAUACCACCCACUGCCUCUUAAUUGCAUUUGGACCUUGGAGUUGAUUUGAAUCUUUUUGUCUAAGCAUAGUAAUGAGGUUAGUUUAUAUGGAUUAUGAAUUUCAAGUACUUAUUUGUAUUUUUCUUUCUUUAUUGGUUAAAUGCUUCUCUAAAUAGCAUAGAUAGCUAGUGAGUUCCGUCACGAACUUACAAUAAAUAGCAUAUUAACUUUCAAUGGGCUAAUACCAAGUGAGCUCCCUGUAGUUUCUUCUCUCUUGCUUUUCAUGUGCUUCUAGUAUUAUUUUAACUUGUUACAUUGAUUCUAGAAUCAGGCUUUUGAGUUAAUUAUGUUAUAAUUUCCCUUUUAGAGUCUUGAUGCCACCCAGUUCCUCUUAAAAUUGUAUAUGGACCUUGGAUUUGGUUUGAAUCUUUUUGUCUAAGCAUAGUAAUGAUGCUCUUCUAACUUCAGAUUUGAGUCAGGCAAUGGAGAACAUUUAUGGAUUAUGAAUUUUGAGAAUUUAAUUGUAUUUUUUUCUUUAUUUAUUGAAUGGUUGAGCUUGACUAAUAGCUAGUGAUCUUUGUCACAAAUUUACAGUGCAUAGCAUAAGCAUGGUACUAUAAAGUGGUAUAAAGAUAUGCAGAAAGUUCAACACAAAAAGCUGUUUUGUUUGUGGACCCUGCAGGCCAAAUGCGAGAGAGAAAAACGAACGGUUUGACAGCUCCCUGUUUUACUUGCAUAUGUUAUGGCAGAUCUCUUAUCUUUAGUGAUGCUACGAGGGUUACAGGUCAGCGUUUUUUAAUAUACAUUUAGCAACUCAUCGCUGACUGAUGUCAGAAAACAGAUCAAGAUGAAGUCGAUAAAUGUUUAUAGUAAUAAACUUCCAAGGUUGACUUCUGGCUAGACUCUUUUGAUCGAUAUUCAAAUUGCAAGGUAGAACUAAAAAGAAAGAAGGGGUUGGGGGAGCAUUCCGAGAAUUGAAAUCAGGACCUCUUGCACCCAAAGCGAGAAUCAUACCACUAGACGCAAUGCCCUUCUAUGUUGUCUUCAAAUUUUUCUAAACACUCCAAUCCUAUAAUUUCAUAAAGAGAAUUUAUGUGGUUUAUUUUCCAAACUUUAGCCAUCUAAAG